CACGAAAUAAUACGAGUUAAUUCAUAAUAGUAUAUAGACUUACAGUAUGUGGCAUAAUAUAAUAUAAUUAUGAAUUAGGGGUGAUAGGCUUACCAAGUUUUAAGAUAUCUUGAUAUCUUCUAAAAACAACAGUGUUUAAGACAACUAAAUAGUGAUAAGGCUAUUUAGAAGCACAAAUAUAUAAUUUACUUUUGUACAUAAUUUAACGAUUAGUUACAUUAAAUAUUAUUAUUAAUCUAUUUAAAUUUGUGUAUUAGUUGAAGAUAUUUCAUAAUUAUGAUAAAAAUUUAUAAUGUAAUUAUUAGUCAUUAUAAAAGAUAUUAUUAAUGAACUCGGCAAUAUAUCUUUCAACUGUUUAUCAAAAACAUUGUCAUGUGUAAUUACACAUGAUAUUUUCUGCUCAAUGAAUUUUAAAUAGCCGCAGUACCCUGACUGUGCAAAGGUAGCGUAAUAAAUUGACUUAUAAUUGAAGUCCUGUAUGAACGAAAUUUUGAAGGAUAACUGUGUCAAUAGUAUAAAUUAAACUUAAUAAAUAAGUACAAAUACUUAUAUCAAAAUGAUAGACGAGAAGACCCUAGAAAUUUUAAUAAAUUGUUAGUUAAUAUUUUUGUUGGGGCAACAAGGUAACAAAUAAUUUACCAUUAAUUACAAGAAAUAAUUUAGUUAGAAUAAAUUACUCUAGGGAUAACAGCGUAAUUAAUAAUAGUUUGCGACCUCGAUGUUGGACUAGGGAACUAUUGCUUAGAA
Molecule: ribosomal RNA, 747 nt
Filed under: Nodulabium solidum
Lineage: Eukaryota; Metazoa; Mollusca; Gastropoda; Stylommatophora; Camaenidae
Description: partial 16S ribosomal RNA
Source: RNAcentral